This 460-nucleotide ribosomal RNA is filed under the name uncultured bacterium. Its description in RNAcentral is "partial 16S ribosomal RNA". It matches the Rfam family "Bacterial small subunit ribosomal RNA", at positions 338 to 795 of the family's 1533-position model. The record is from RNAcentral.
CCUACGGGUGACAGCAGUGAGGAAUAUUGGUCAAUGGACGAGAGUCUGAACCAGCCAAGUUGCGUGAAGGAUGACUGCCCUAUGGGUUGUAAACUUCUUUUAUAUGGGAAUAAAAUGUUCCACGUGUGGGAUUUUGUAUGUACCAUAUGAAUAAGGAUCGGCUAACUCCGUGCCAGCAGCCGCGGUAAUACGGAGGAUCCGAGCGUUAUCCGGAUUUAUUGGGUUUAAAGGGAGCGUAGGUGGAUUGUUAAGUCAGUUGUGAAAGUUUGCGGCUCAACCGUAAAAUUGCAGUUGAAACUGGCAGUCUUGAGUACAGUAGAGGUGGGCGGAAUUCGUGGUGUAGCGGUGAAAUGCUUAGAUAUCACGAAGAACUCCGAUUGCGAAGGCAGUUCACUGGACUGCAACUGACACUGAGGCUCGAAAGUGUGGGUAUCAAACAGGAUUAGAUACCCUUGUAGUC